CAUUAUGUCUAUAGAAAAUUGUGUUUUGAGUUAUGAUAAAUUUUAACUACAACAGAUAUUUUAGAACACAAUCCCAUCAUAGUUGUAUUUUAAAACAAGUACAAUAAAACUCCAUUUAUUUGGAAUAUUGAAAAUCUGAAUAAUCUAAAAAAAAUGAAAAAAUUAUUUGUCGAUUUUAAAUAGGCUGUUAGCUAGAGCGUUAAGCACAAUUAAAAUUUAAUUUCUUGAUGUAUAAUUAAUUUUAAGAAUGAUGGUUGAGUAUGAUUUCUGUUUUUUCCUCUUUCCUGUUUUAUGCAUUUUCUAAUAGCAGGGUGCUGUUCAGCGGGCUUUAUAUUGCUGUUUAUGGGGUGCCAUACAAUGCUGACAUGAUUGUUAACUGUAGAAUACAAUUCAUUGCGACAGAUCCCGAUUCCCCCAAUUUUCCCUUCUUUCUACAUUUAUUGCAUGAUUUCUUCUUAUUCUGAUUAGAGAAUGGAUAAUUUUUAAUGCAUAUCACUACCAAUUUUUAUAUAAAAGUUUUUUCUUUUAGAAUAUCGCACGUAAAAAAUAUUAUAAUACAGUCAAACCCCGAUAAUACGUCCCCCUUUAAGCCGCCACAUUGGCUGACCGCCAAGAACUUUGGCGGAACAUAUCUUCCUUAUGUAAAUCGAACAUAGAAACCCCGGUAAAAAGCACUCACACCAUCCGCCAGUAGAAACGAUAAAACAAAUACAGUCGAGCCCCGAUUUAACGAAUCGUACGGAGUUGAGAAUUUAUCCGUUAAAUCGA
This 768-nucleotide long non-coding RNA is filed under the name Androctonus crassicauda. Lineage: Eukaryota; Metazoa; Arthropoda; Arachnida; Scorpiones; Buthidae. The record is from RNAcentral.